UACGGAGGGUGCAAGCGUUAUCCGGAUUCACUGGGUUUAAAGGGUGCGUAGGUGGGCCCGUAAGUCAGUGGUGAAAUCUCCGAGCUUAACUCGGAAACUGCCAUUGAUACUAUAGGUCUUGAAUUAUCUGGAGGUUAGCGGAAUAUGUCAUGUAGCGGUGAAAUGCUUAGAUAUGACAUAGAACACCGAUUGCGAAGGCAGCUGGCUACAGGUAUAUUGACACUGAGGCACGAAAAGCGUGGGGAUCAAACAGG
This 254-nucleotide ribosomal RNA is filed under the name uncultured bacterium. RNAcentral describes it as "partial 16S ribosomal RNA". It matches the Rfam family "Bacterial small subunit ribosomal RNA", at positions 524 to 776 of the family's 1533-position model. The record is from RNAcentral.